AGUACAGGUCUCAGCUUUAGGCUCCCACCGAAAAACGUAUGAAAACGGCAAGGCAAGCAAAUGCACGAACGUAUUGGAGGCUUUCUCUCAUAAGAAUCUUAUUUUCAUCGCCUAGUAAGAUUGAUGAGACUCUUUUCUGUUGGGAGGAGGCUGGAGUUGAGGCUACAAACAGUGGAAGAUGGAGAAAAUACCUGCUUGUAUAUGGUGGACUAUAUGGAGAGAGAGAAAUGAUAGAUGUUUCGAAAAUAGGAACAACAACCUGCAAGAACUCAAGCUUAAAUGUAUUUCGUUGUUCUGUUUUUGGUGUACAAAUGUCUACUCCAAUGUGACUGAGUCAAUCAUAGAUGGUUUAGGAUCCAUCUAGUUCCUAGUUUAGCAUUGGAAGGACUUUAAAUCUUUUUCUUAUUUUGUAAAUAUGGUUUUUUAGUACUACCCAAGGAUUGACUGAAAUACAAU
This 456-nucleotide unclassified non-coding RNA is filed under the name Hevea brasiliensis (rubber tree). The record is from RNAcentral. Lineage: Eukaryota; Viridiplantae; Streptophyta; Magnoliopsida; Malpighiales; Euphorbiaceae.